Molecule: ribosomal RNA, 492 nt
Filed under: uncultured bacterium
Lineage: Bacteria
Description: partial 16S ribosomal RNA
Rfam family: Bacterial small subunit ribosomal RNA
Source: RNAcentral
AGUGAACGCUGGCGGUAGGCCCAACACAUGCAAGUCGAACGGCAGCACAGUAAGAGCUUGCUCUUACGGGUGGCGAGUGGCGGACGGGUGAGGAAUACAUCGGAAUCUACUUUUUCGUGGGGGAUAACGUAGGGAAACUUACGCUAAUACCGCAUACGACCUACGGGUGAAAGCAGGGGAUCUUCGGACCUUGCGCGAUUGAAUGAGCCGAUGUCGGAUUAGCUAGUUGGCGGGGUAAAGGCCCACCAAGGCGACGAUCCGUAGCUGGUCUGAGAGGAUGAUCAGCCACACUGGAACUGAGACACGGUCCAGACUCCUACGGGAGGCAGCAGUGGGGAAUAUUGGACAAUGGGCGCAAGCCUGAUCCAGCCAUACCGCGUGGGUGAAGAAGGCCUUCGGGUUGUAAAGCCCUUUUGAUGGGAAAGAAAAGCAGCAGGUUAAUACCCCGCUGUUCUGACGGUACCCAAAGAAUAAGCACCGGCUAACUUCGUG